AUCGAUGAAGAACGCAGCGAAAUGCGAUAAGUAAUGUGAAUUGCAGAAUUCAGUGAAUCAUCGAAUCUUUGAACGCACCUUGCGCUCCUUGGUAUUCCGAGGAGCAUGCCUGUUUGAGUGUCAUGAAAUUCUCAACCUUAUCAAAGUUUUUGACUUUGUCUGGCUUGGACUGUGGGAUAUGCUGGCUUGUCAAAAGUCAGCUCUCCUUAAAUGUAUUAGCAGAAUCUUUUAAAGGUUAGCUUUUUAGUGUGAUAAUUAUCUACGCUAUGAAGUGCCUUGUUUGCAAUUCAGCUUCUAAAUUGUCUUGUUAAAAGACACCAUGACCAUUUUUGACCUCAAAUCAGGUAGGACUACCCGCUGAACUUAAGCAUAUCAAUAAGCGGAGGAAAAGAAACUAACAAGGAUUCCCCUAGUAACUGCGAGUGAAGCGGGAAAAGCUCAAAUUUAAAAUCUGGCAGCUUUGCUGUCCGAGUUGUAAUCUAGAGAAGUGUUAUCCGCGCUGGACCGUGUACAAGUCUCCUGGAAUGGAGCGUCAUAGAGGGUGAGAAUCCCGUCUUUGACACGGACUACCAGGGCUUAUGUGAUGCGCUCUCAAAGAGUCGAGUUGUUUGGGAAUGCAGCUCUAAAUGGGUGGUAAAUUCCAUCUAAAGCUAAAUAUUGGCGAGAGACCGAUAGCGAACAAGUACCGUGAGGGAAAGAUGAAAAGAACUUUGGAAAGAGAGUUAAACAGUACGUGAAAUUGUUGAAAGGGAAACGCUUGAAGUCAGUCAUGUUGCCCAAGGAUCAACCUUGCUCUUUUGCUUGGUGUACUUCUUGGAUCGACAGGUCAGCAUCAAUUUUGAUCGAUGGAUAAAGUUCAGAGGAAUGUGGCAUCUUCGGAUGUGUUAUAGCCUUUGUCCGUAUACAUCGGUUGGGAUUGAGGAACUCAGCAUGCCGCAAGGCCAGGUUUUUAAACCAUGUUCAUGCUUAGGAUGCUGGCAUAAUGGCUUUAAUCGACCCGUCUUGAAACACGG
RNAcentral lists this ribosomal RNA (1013 nucleotides) under uncultured fungus. RNAcentral describes it as "eukaryotic LSU rRNA". The stretch from base 331 to 1013 matches the Rfam family "Eukaryotic large subunit ribosomal RNA", at positions 1 to 664 of the family's 3401-position model. Lineage: Eukaryota; Fungi. The record is from RNAcentral.